UCCAACCCAUACCAAUACCAUUCAACUCUCAAAUCACCCGUUUCUUCUCAUUCCGCCCCGCCAUUCGACUUCCGGGACAGCUGCUCAAUCUCUGCUGUUUUGCUCCGGUAUUCGACCUCUCAAUCUCUCAAGAACUCUCACCACCCGACGCCGUCUUCCCCCAAUCUUGGAAUCUCUUGCGAUUCUUUUUAUUUUCAAGCCCUAAAUGGUAGUCGGCAAACACCUUCAAUUCCACUGGCGACUCCAUAGACGGCAACAUAGCAGAAGAAGAAGGGCAAAUUGGAUGUGCUCUUGCUCUUAUGAUUGCUAGGGAUGUGAUGUAGGGCACUGACCAAUCCGUCAUCCUUCACAUACUAGAUGUUCCUCCUGCUGCUGAGGCACUUAAUGGAGUGAGAUGAGAUUGGUCAAUGCUGCACUCUCUCUUCUCAAAGAUAUUGGAUGGUCUCUUUAAGCUGCCUGAGAAUAGGGAAUGUGCAGAUUGCCGGAGCAAGUAUGUUUGUGACACCUACCUUGCACAUUGUGGUCAAAUGUCCACAACCAGCCUGGAUUUUACUCUCUCUCUCUAUUCAUGAGGCAAAUGCUAAUCUUCUUUAACCAAGAAAAAUUUAAAGUUCUUGAAUUCAUUCACACAAUUUUCGCUCUUUUCAAGGAGUGAAUCUGUGGUUUGAAAGUUGGUCAUAUCGAACUAAAAGUGAAUCCUAAUUUGUGCACUGAAAGUUGAUGCCAUACUAUUCAUCUUAAUGAUUUGAGUUGGAGUAUAUUGCUAAGCUAUUUACAACUGUAGGAAAAACUAUUUCUAUCACAAUAAUUAAUCAGGUCUCCAUCUUUAUAUUUUUCACCACACACUUUUGUGCCUUGUGAAGAUUACAGAAGUGUGAUAAUCCAGGCUGGUUAUGGCGUUUAGCUAAAACUCAAUUUUAUUACGCAUACAUAUACUUUAUAGCCAGAUGGGAAGAGAGUGAUGUACAUAUUUGCCAUCUAAUGACUUUGAAGGUCAGUAUUUCUAUUCUUUUUUCUUCGUAGUGUUAAUUGCUGCCUUCUACAUAGGUGAGGUCUACGACUCUAGAUACAUGGCUACUAGAGCAGGUUGCUUUCAUGCAAUGAAAGUCUCUCUUUAGAGAGAGAAAAAAAAAUU
Molecule: long non-coding RNA, 1135 nt
Organism: Olea europaea var. sylvestris
Lineage: Eukaryota; Viridiplantae; Streptophyta; Magnoliopsida; Lamiales; Oleaceae
Exons: 3
Source: RefSeq, a predicted model, not a curated record